AGUGAACGCUGGCGGUAGGCCUAACACAUGCAAGUCGAACGGCGGCACAGUAAGAGCUUGCUCUUACGGGUGGCGAGUGGCGGACGGGUGAGGAAUACAUCGGAAUCUACUUUUUCGUGGGGGAUAACGUAGGGAAACUUACGCUAAUACCGCAUACGACCUACGGGUGAAAGCAGGGGAUCUUCGGCCCUUGCGCGAUUGAAUGAGCCGAUGUCGGAUUAGCUAGUUGGCGGGGUAAAGGCCCACCAAGGCGACGAUCCGUAGCUGGUCUGAGAGGAUGAUCAGCCACACUGGAACUGAGACACGGUCCAGACUCCUACGGGAGGCAGCAGUGGGGAAUAUUGGACAAUGGGCGCAAGCCUGAUCCAGCCAUACCGCGUGGGUGAAGAAGGCCUUCGGGUUGUAAAGCCCUUUUGUUGGGAAAGAAAAGCAGCAGGUUAAUACCCCGCUGUUCUGACGGUACCCAAAGAAUAAGCACCGGCUAACUUCGUG
Molecule: ribosomal RNA, 492 nt
Filed under: uncultured bacterium
Lineage: Bacteria
Description: partial 16S ribosomal RNA
Rfam family: Bacterial small subunit ribosomal RNA
Source: RNAcentral